RNAcentral lists this ribosomal RNA (895 nucleotides) under Alteromonas sp. N54(2010). RNAcentral's name for it is "bacterial SSU rRNA". It matches the Rfam family "Bacterial small subunit ribosomal RNA", at positions 78 to 976 of the family's 1533-position model. The record is from RNAcentral. Lineage: Bacteria; Pseudomonadati; Pseudomonadota; Gammaproteobacteria; Alteromonadales; Alteromonadaceae.
UGCUAGAAGAUGACGAGUGGCGGACGGGUGAGUAAUGCUUGGGAACUUGCCUUUGCGAGGGGGAUAACAGUUGGAAACGACUGCUAAUACCGCAUAAUGUCUUCGGACCAAACGGGGCUUCGGCUCCGGCGCAAAGAGAGGCCCAAGUGAGAUUAGCUAGUUGGUAAGGUAACGGCUUACCAAGGCGACGAUCUCUAGCUGUUCUGAGAGGAAGAUCAGCCACACUGGGACUGAGACACGGCCCAGACUCCUACGGGAGGCAGCAGUGGGGAAUAUUGCACAAUGGGGGAAACCCUGAUGCAGCCAUGCCGCGUGUGUGAAGAAGGCCUUCGGGUUGUAAAGCACUUUCAGUUGUGAGGAAAAGUUAGUAGUUAAUACCUGCUAGCCGUGACGUUAACAACAGAAGAAGCACCGGCUAACUCCGUGCCAGCAGCCGCGGUAAUACGGAGGGUGCGAGCGUUAAUCGGAAUUACUGGGCGUAAAGCGCACGCAGGCGGUUUGUUAAGCUAGAUGUGAAAGCCCCGGGCUCAACCUGGGAUGGUCAUUUAGAACUGGCAGACUAGAGUCUUGGAGAGGGGAGUGGAAUUCCAGGUGUAGCGGUGAAAUGCGUAGAUAUCUGGAGGAACAUCAGUGGCGAAGGCGACUCCCUGGCCAAAGACUGACGCUCAUGUGCGAAAGUGUGGGUAGCGAACAGGAUUAGAUACCCUGGUAGUCCACACCGUAAACGCUGUCUACUAGCUGUGUGUGCCUUUAAGGCGUGCGUAGCGAAGCUAACGCGCUAAGUAGACCGCCUGGGGAGUACGGCCGCAAGGUUAAAACUCAAAUGAAUUGACGGGGGCCCGCACAAGCGGUGGAGCAUGUGGUUUAAUUCGAUGCAACGCGAAGAACCUUACCU